GAUAAAUUUUUUAUGGUUGAAAAAAAUUUAUUUUAAGUUUAUUUUACAUAUAAAUUUUAGUGUUAAUUAUUAAUUAUUUAGAAAAUAAUUUAUAUAUAAGUAGUAAUUAAUAUUAAAAAUUUAAGAAAUUAAGAUUUAGUAAUAUAAUUAAAAUUAAUAACUAAUUUUGUGCCAGCAGUUGCGGUUAAACAAAAGUUAAUUUUAAAUUUUUUUAGUGAUUAAUUAAUAAAUAUUUAAAAAUAUAAUUUAAAUUUAUAAUUAUAAGGUGAAAUUUUAAUUUUAUAAAAAAUUAUAUAAAUAUUAUGAAUUGAUAAAUUUUAUUAAAAACUAGGAUUAGAUACCCUAUUAUUAAAAAUUUAAAUUAAUAAUAUACUUAAAUAGUAGGUAAUUAAAUAUUGAAACUUAAAUAAUUUGGCGGUAUUUUAGUUUAUUUAGAGGAAUCUGUUUAAUAAUUGAUAAUCCACGAUUAAAUUUACUUAAUUUAUUAUUUUGUAUAUCGUUGUUAAAAAAAUAUUUUUUAAUAAUAAAUAAUAUUUAAAAUUUAAAAUUAAAAAGUUAAAUCAGAUCAAGAUGCAGAUUAUAAUUAAGAAUAUAAUGGAUUACAAUAAAAUUAUUUAAUUUGGAAUUUAAAUUGUAAUGUUUAAAUGAAAUUGGAUUUAAAUGUAAUUUUAUUUAAAUUAAUAAAAUGAUUUUAAAUUAAAAUAUGUACAUAUUGCCCGUCGCUUUCAUUAAUAAAUUGAAAUAAGUCGUAACAAAGUAGAAGUACUGGAAAGUGUUUCUAGAAAGA
Molecule: non-coding RNA, 787 nt
Filed under: Marumba sperchius
Lineage: Eukaryota; Metazoa; Arthropoda; Insecta; Lepidoptera; Sphingidae
Source: RNAcentral